AGUGGAAGCUGCGGCAUCAACCCUGUAGACAAAGAAGAAAAUACCUUUUGUCUGCAGAAGGCAGCGAUCCUACAUGAACAUGGAGGUCUCUGUCUGACUUAGGAAAGCUCGCUAAGUCUGAUCGUUCCCCUCCAUACACU
This 140-nucleotide small nucleolar RNA is filed under the name Peromyscus maniculatus bairdii (prairie deer mouse). Its description in RNAcentral is "Small Cajal body specific RNA 3 (ENSPEMG00000004683.2)". It matches the Rfam family "Small Cajal body specific RNA 3". Rfam says of the family: scaRNAs are a specific class of small nuclear RNAs which localise to the Cajal bodies and guide the modification of RNA polymerase II transcribed spliceosomal RNAs U1, U2, U4, U5 and U12. RNAcentral also lists the same sequence under 1 other name. The record is from Rfam by way of RNAcentral. Lineage: Eukaryota; Metazoa; Chordata; Mammalia; Rodentia; Cricetidae.